This 490-nucleotide ribosomal RNA is filed under the name uncultured bacterium. Its description in RNAcentral is "partial 16S ribosomal RNA". It matches the Rfam family "Bacterial small subunit ribosomal RNA", at positions 30 to 507 of the family's 1533-position model. The record is from RNAcentral.
UGAACGCUGGCUACAGGCUUAACACAUGCAAGUCGAGGGGAAACGGCAUUGAGUGCUUGCACUGAAUGGACGUCGACCGGCGCACGGGUGAGUAACGCGUAUCCAACCUUCCCGUUACUGCGGGAUAACCUGCCGAAAGGCAGACUAAUACCGCAUGUUCUUCGAUGACGGCAUCAGAUUCGAAGCAAAGAUCCGUCGGUAACGGAGGGGGAUGCGUCUGAUUAGCUAGUUGGCGGGGCGACGGCCCACCAAGGCGACGAUCAGUAGGGGUUCUGAGAGGAAGGUCCCCCACAUUGGAACUGAGACACGGUCCAAACUCCUACGGGAGGCAGCAGUGAGGAAUAUUGGUCAAUGGGCGGAAGCCUGAACCAGCCAAGUAGCGUGCAGGAUGACGGCCCUACGGGUUGUAAACUGCUUUUAUGCGGGGAUAAAGUGAGGGACGCGUCCCUUUUUGCAGGUACCGCAUGAAUAAGGACCGGCUAAUUCCGUG